ACUCUUGUACACCCCCUCAGACCUCCUUAAUGCCUUGCCAGCUGGAAGGAAAAGAGCCUCUUGCAUUGCCCACAAAGGAAGCAGAGAUUGAGGGGAGAAGAACUGGAGAAAUUAAAAAAGUGGAAAGAGACAGCAACACAAAUAAAGAGGUUGAGUACCAGUAGAAACCUCAUAUUUACCUGGAAGAUUACUUUUAGGAAGCUUGAAGAAUUCUCUCUUCCAACUUGGUUAAUCUGAGUUCUGUGGCACCUACAAGAGAAAUGGCUGCUUAUAUGUGACAACCUGCAGAUCUGAGCAGCAGGGGAACAAAGGCAGGGCCAACACAAUGGCACUGGUCCCGUUGAGUCCUGGGGAGUCCUCAGCUUUCAGGAGUCCCCUGAAUAUGGGGCAACCCCACAGGGAUUUCCUGUAAGAUUUUAAAUGAAGAAAGUCUUCUACUGCUGUAUAAAGAAAAAAAAAAGAAGAAGAAAGGGAUGGAUCUCACUAUGUUGCCAAGGCUGGCUCGAGAACUCCUGGGCUCAACCAAUCCUCCUGCCUCAGCCUCCCAAAUAGCUGGGACUACAGAAUGGACUUUUCAUCCAUGUGGCUGUGAUCAGUUCCUAAAGCAGAGGAAUCUGCAGCCUAAUGACACAUCAGGAAUUGAUGGAACCCCAGCAGACAGCUUCUAUGAGGUGUGUGGGUGGCGGAUGUGAAAUCAAUAAAAAAAAAAAAAAGAAUAAUUUUUUUUGUUGUUUUUGUUCACUGUCAUGUACAUUAAAGCAUGUAGGCCUCUUCCAGUGUAUAUGUGUAACUUUCACAGUAAAACCUGGAUGAAAAAUCAAUAGAAAUUUAGAAUCUUUCUUCAUAGGAACUGUAUGAUUACUUUGGCAGGAGGAAAAAUAAACAUGUGAAAACAACCUCAAGUCAAUAAAAUGUAUGAUCAGUAACAUAUGAUGAGUAUAUAAGUUAUAGCAUGGGUAAUGUUGAUUCUAGCUAAUUACCUUUGAAAUUGAGGCAGGGCAAAACCAAUUAUGAGCUAGAGUUCAUAAGUAACUCCAAGAACUCCAAGUUGAAAAUCUCAAGGAGAGAGGAUUGCACAUUGGUAGUCCUGUGGAAUAGAGAAGAGAGAAGUCAUUCCAGGCAGAGGAAUGACAGGCAGAGGGGAAUUUUGGGUAACUAGACUGGGCUCAUUCUAAGUGAGCAGCACAUGCAGUUACAAAGACAUCAACACUCUUGUGUCUCCUGCUGCAGAGGUCUUGAUGCUGUGAAUGAUGACUAAUAUAUCUUUGGGUCUCCGAAGUGACUGAUUUAAUUCUAUCAUUUUUGGAGGCAAGGCUUUAUUAUAAGCUACACGAAUAACUUCAAAAAAGGAUUAAAUUAACUGUGCAUUAUUUACUGCAAGUGCAUUUCUCUGGUAUAAAUCUGUCUUAUUUAUGCAUUAGGAUGAGAAAACAGUUUAUUGCCAUUAUAUAUUGUUUAGGGCUGAAGGUUACAAUCUGUCACAAUAUCUCUUCAAAUCCAAAUUCUGGC
This 1509-nucleotide long non-coding RNA is filed under the name Homo sapiens (human). RNAcentral's name for it is "HSALNT0328220". The record is from RNAcentral. Lineage: Eukaryota; Metazoa; Chordata; Mammalia; Primates; Hominidae.